CAGCAGCCGCGGUAAUACGUAGGGUGCGAGCGUUAAUCGGAAUUACUGGGCGUAAAGCGUGCGCAGGCGGUUCGUUAAGACAGAUGUGAAAUCCCCGGGCUUAACCUGGGAACUGCAUUUGUGACUGGCGAGCUAGAGUAUGGCAGAGGGGGGUAGAAUUCCACGUGUAGCAGUGAAAUGCGUAGAGAUGUGGAGGAAUACCGAUGGCGAAGGCAGCCCCCUGGGCCAAUACUGACGCUCAUGCACGAAAGCGUGGGGAGCAAACAGGAUUAGAGACCCCAGUAGUCCCUGUCUCUUAUAC
RNAcentral lists this ribosomal RNA (301 nucleotides) under uncultured bacterium. RNAcentral's name for it is "partial 16S ribosomal RNA". It matches the Rfam family "Bacterial small subunit ribosomal RNA", at positions 509 to 807 of the family's 1533-position model. The record is from RNAcentral.